This 2431-nucleotide long non-coding RNA is filed under the name Piliocolobus tephrosceles (Ugandan red Colobus). RNAcentral describes it as "lncRNA (ENSPTEG00000007922.1)". The record is from RNAcentral. Lineage: Eukaryota; Metazoa; Chordata; Mammalia; Primates; Cercopithecidae.
UAACAACAGUAGUAAUAAUAAUAACAACAACAGUAAUACUAUUAAUAGUAAUAAUAAUAAUAAUAUUGAGCAAGACGAAUUAAGUUUAGAAAGUAUGUUUCAUAUUAAUAUAAAAACAUUUAAUAAUCAUAUUUCUACUAUUAAAGAUGUGAAUAAUCGUUUAUAUAUCUAUGGGGAUGACAAUACAGAUAGCAUAAAUGAUAAUUAUAAUAUCAGUGGAUAUAGUAAUAAUAAUUUGGCAAAAUAUUAUGACAGUAGAAAAGAUACUUUUUCAAUUAAGAAAGCUUUACUAAACUAUUUUAAAGAUGUAAAAAGGUAUUUAUAUAAUAUUCGAAAUGAAAAUAUAGUAAAUAUAUUAUUACCUAGAUAUUAUAGUAAUUCUGAUGAUUAUAAUUAUAAAAAUUUUUUAAAUAUUCGAUUUUUUACCAUUGAAAAAUCGGAUAAUAAACAUUUAAUCGCGUUAGAUACUGAAACGGAUUAUGUAUAUAUAUAUAAGAUAAAAAAAAAUGUAUAUUUAGAUGAUGAUGCAUUAGAUGUGAUACCAAAUAAUAAACACCAAGCAAAUAAGCACAUGUUACAAAUGUUUCAACCUUCGCAACGUAUGAAAAAAGAGACAAGGUUAAAAGAGGAGUGGAAAAUAUAUAAUGAAUAUAUUUACGUAAAUACGAAAAAGUUAAAAAGAUAUAUUAAAUAUCAUUUAUUAUAUAUUAUUAAAAAUCAUAAAAAAUUGUUUUUUCCUUUACAUGUGUAUGUAAUAAAUGCCAAGUCAAAUGAGGAUGAGUAUUUUUUAUUUAUAAAAUGGGGAACUAUAAAAAAUACAUAUAUUUAUUCAUCUUACAGUUCGCUCAAUCGAGUAUCAAAAAUGAAGGAGUACUUUAAGAAGAGUGAUGAAAGAAUGCUACAAGUGCUAGAAAAACCGAAAGAUAUAUUUUUAUAUAAUAUUAAUGAUAACAAUAAUGACAACAUGCAUUAUAAUAAUAUGAAUUAUUAUGACAACCCAUAUAUGUAUAAUAGUAGUACCACUGCUGCUAAUAACAUGAAUAUUAAUAAUAGUAAUAACAGGAGCUCUUUUAAUCCUUUGACUGGUAGAAAUACAUAUUUAGAUAAGGACUACUUAUCGGAACGGGGUGGUACUUAUAUGUCUUAUAAUGAUAGGAAUAAAUUAAAAGGCUACAAAGAAGAUUAUUUAAACAUAAAGAAAGGUUAUAACAAUCCGAUAAAUACUGCUACUAGUACUAGUACUACUGCUGAUAGUAAUACUUUUACUACUAAUAUUAUGAAUACAAAUGAGGAUUAUUUAAAUAAAACUCCAAUAAAAAAUUUAUCAAGGAAUUUUUAUACUUCUCCUAUAGGUGCUACUAUGAAUCAGAACAUAGUAAAUGAUUCAGCACUGUCAUAUAAUUACAAGCAAAAUAGUAAAUAUGAUAAAAAUGAUAUAUAUUACAACGAUUAUUAUAAUAACAUUGCAGGGAGUAUUCAUGGUAAGAGUAAUAAUUACAAUAGAAAUAGAGAUAUGGGUAGUAGGGGUUAUUCCAAUGAUCCACAUGAUAUUAAGAAACAAGGUGAAGAGAGCAAAACAGGAGGUUGGAAUUAUUUGAAAAAACUAAACUUAUCUAAUAAAAAGAAUAACGAUGAUAUAUUAAAUGAUACGUAUCGAACUAGUAAGUAUACGUAUAAUAAUAAAACAGACAAUAUUAAAAUGGAACGUAAAACUGCAUACACAUACAAUUUAGAUGAUGAUUUUAUGUCAAAUGGUAUAAAAGGUAGUAAUACUAUUUAUAAUAUGUCUCCUCCACCUAGUAGCAGUAUGAGAUUUAACAGACUUCGUGAUACGUCUGAUCAUUCUAAAAUAAUAAACAAUGAAAAUGCAAAUAUGAAUGAACCUGUAAAUAUAAAUGAUCUAUACUUGAUAAAUAAUAAUAGUAAUACGAGACGUUACACUUCUAAUGAUAUGAAUCGUUAUGAUUCUUAUUUAUUAAAAAAUGAUAUAUAUAAUUUUCGAAAUACGAAUAUCGACACUAAUAAUGAGAAUAGUCGUAGUAAUUAUAUAUACAACAAUGACAUAUAUAAAACAACGAAUGAUAGUAAUAAUUUUACAGAUGACUUAGAUUAUAAAACUUAUGAUAAACUGGGUAGUAUUUAUAACAAUAGAGAUAGUUCGGACAUAAGUCAAAUGUCUAAUGAAAACCAUUUAAGAAGUAGAUAUAGAAAUUUAAAUUUAAGUGAUAGAUAUGAUAAUAGUACAAGUAAAUAUAUAUAGAGAAUGUAUAUAUGCACACGCACAUAUGUAUAUAUAUAUAUAUAUAUAUAUAUAUAAAUAAGAUGCCUUAGCUGUAGGUUGUCAUUCGUAUGGAAAUGCAAGAGUUUACAUUUUUAUAGUUCAUUUAUAAUAUGUUUUGUUUGUGUUUUGUUUGUGUUUGUUUUUUUUUCU